AUGCCUAGGUCUAGCCGCCGCCGCCGCCACCCCUGCUCGCCGGCGGUCGGGCCACUGGGCGAAGACGACCUGCUCCGCGAGAUCCUCCUCCGCCUGCCUCCGCAGCCCUCCUCCCUCCCCCGCGCCUCCGCCGUCUGCAGGCGCUGGCGCCUCCUCCUCUCCGACCCAGGCUUCUCCCGCCGCUUCCGCAUCCACCACCGCCGCGACCCACCCCUACUCGGUUUCUUCGUCAGAAAUGAAGAUCUGCCCUUCCUACCUGCUCUCGACGCCCCGGAUCGUGUCUCCCCCGGCCGUUUCUCCUUGCAGCGCGGCGACGGCGACGGCGACCGGUUCAUGUCCCUUGGAUGCCGCCAUGGCCUGGUACUCGUCGUCAACAAACCUAAGAACCAGAUCCUGGUGUGGGACCCCGUCAUCGGCGACCAGCACCGCCUUGACGUGCCCCCGGGGGUUGCGAUACAUGCAGAGAAGACACCGAUCAACGGGGCGGUGCUUCGUGCUGCUGGAGACGAUGCCCAACACUUCCAAGUGGCGUUGACAGUGGCAGACAACGAUGACAAGCAACACAGACGAGCGCUUGCCUGCGUUUACUCCUCAGAGGCUGGCGCAUGGGGUGAACUCGUCUCAACACAGCUUCCAUCUCGCGUUCCAAUGAGUAAUGUUGGCACCUUCGUUUCUACUUACAAGCCUACCGUGCUGAUUGGGGAUUCCCUUUACUGGAGGCUUGCUGGGAAUUUUACCGGAAUUCUUGAGUUUGAUUUGGAGAAGCAAAGCCUAGCUGUCAUACGGUUGCCAGUGCAUAUCCUUGAAGACGGCCAUUGCCUAUUCUCGAUUAUGCGCGCAGAGGGUGGUGGCCUUGGUUUACUCCUCCAGACAGACCGCAGCAUCCAGUUAUGGAAGAGGAAGACUGAUUGUGAUGGUGUUGCUUCAUGGGGUCUUGGAAGAACCAUUGAACUGGACAAGCUACUUUCUCUGAAUUCGGAGGAGAAUGACAUAAUAAUACAAGGGCCCAUGGGGGAAAAUAAUGUGGUGUUCGUAUGGACACAUCACAUCCUCUUUACGGAAAAAAAAUCCUUUAGUGGUGUAUAA
RNAcentral lists this ribosomal RNA (1086 nucleotides) under Triticum aestivum (bread wheat). Its description in RNAcentral is "partial small subunit ribosomal RNA". Lineage: Eukaryota; Viridiplantae; Streptophyta; Magnoliopsida; Poales; Poaceae. The record is from RNAcentral.